GAAAACAAAGAACGAACUCACGUUAUUUACCUAAGCUUCCACGGGAAGAAAGCGAACCUGGGUGAAAAGUCAGACUAUGAAGAUUAAACACCACGCAAACCAGCAGGAACACGGCAGGGUUAGAAAAAUAACCUUCCCAAACAUUACACAAAACCUCCCACACGCCACGGAAAAACAACAUCUCCCGGAGUGUAAAAAGCCAUGAGGCACAAGCGCAGUUAAGCUCCUUCUUUGGCAAACCUUAAGGAGAAAACAAGAGACUCAAGCCCCCUAACGAGGAGCAAAAGGAUGGAUAUCUCUGGCCGCCUGCAGAGACAAUGCUAAGGAGAUCGUACCCCCUUGUACAGUGAGGGCGAACGUAAGCUCGGGUCAAGAACUUGCAACACUUUUUUCCAGUUAAGUGACUGAAGUCUCAUUCUUUGAAAUAAUAGGUUUAAAGGAAAUCUAUGGCUUUAACUUGAAAAUAUAUUGUUUGCAUUUGAUCCCGGUUAUGCAAAUGAACGCUGAGUCCCGCCCCCCCCCCGAGAUUCUUGCCCGACCUCGGCCGGCCGAAGCCCGCUUCCCGGGACCCUGACUACAUCUCUUCUGCUCCUCGAGACUCUGCGUGUGAUUUCUUUGGGGUAAAGGAUUUUGUUGACUGCUUAAGAAAACGUCGGAGCUCUGCAUUUGACACGAGACACGGUUCACAACAUAAUAUCAAGUGAAAGGCCGUGAAGCAUGUGGGAUCUCAGCUCCUCGACAAGGGGUUGAACCCAUUCCCCCUGCAUUGGAAGGCGAAGUCUUAACCACUGGACCGCCAGGGAAGUCCCCUAUUCUUUAUAUUAAAUUUUUU
Molecule: long non-coding RNA, 832 nt
Organism: Balaenoptera ricei (Rice's whale)
Lineage: Eukaryota; Metazoa; Chordata; Mammalia; Artiodactyla; Balaenopteridae
Exons: 3
Source: RefSeq, a predicted model, not a curated record